AGCAGUUUGGUUUGGUUCGAUUUCUAAACUCAUGGAAUCGAAAAUUUUCGUUUCAACUAGAAAAAAUAUGAAAUAUUAAAUGGAACUAUCGGUCACUGGUGGCUCUUACAUCAAGCCAAAACUUUUUUUUUUUAAGAGAGAGAGAAAGGUAGCAUGUUAUCCGCUUUUUUUAUUUCAUCAUUUGCCACUUGCGCUAGAAACAGUCGGUAAUCUUUAAAAAAAAAAAAAAA
RNAcentral lists this long non-coding RNA (230 nucleotides) under Ananas comosus (pineapple). Its description in RNAcentral is "long non-coding RNA (ACOM_LNC023174)". The record is from RNAcentral. Lineage: Eukaryota; Viridiplantae; Streptophyta; Magnoliopsida; Poales; Bromeliaceae.